Molecule: long non-coding RNA, 294 nt
Filed under: Capra hircus (goat)
Lineage: Eukaryota; Metazoa; Chordata; Mammalia; Artiodactyla; Bovidae
Description: lncRNA (ENSCHIG00000006950.1)
Source: RNAcentral
GAUGUUUCCUUAUUCCUCUUGUAACAGGUUCUCAUCAACUCAUCCGCAGAUCAGCCUACCAGCAUGAAGGCUUCCGGAAGGUGAGAAGCAGCUCAUCACACCCUCCGUUAAGUUCCCUGGAGACCUUCAGCAUACUUUGGAUGAAUGGACUGGCCCAAGCACUUCAUAAGUUUAAGAGACUUUUGAGCCAAAAGGAGAAGAGUAAAUUACACCCUGUCACCAAUUACAAGGAUGCCUCCCUCAUAGCUCAGCAGUCCCUUUGUAGGACAUCUCAGCCCUGAUCCAGGGACCAAC